UACGUAGGUGGCAAGCGUUGUCCGGAUUUACUGGGCGUAAAGAGCGCGCAGGCGGUCAGAUAAGUCGCAUGUGAAAGCCCCCGGCUCAACUGGGGAGGGGCAUUCGAUACUGUUCGACUCGAAGGCAGGAGAGGGAAGUGGAAUUCCCGGUGUAGUGGUGAAAUGCGUAGAUAUCGGGAGGAACACCAGUGGCGAAGGCGACUUCCUGGCCUGUUCUUGACGCUGAGGCGCGAAAGCUAGGGGAGCAAACGGG
RNAcentral lists this ribosomal RNA (253 nucleotides) under uncultured bacterium. RNAcentral's name for it is "partial 16S ribosomal RNA". It matches the Rfam family "Bacterial small subunit ribosomal RNA", at positions 524 to 776 of the family's 1533-position model. The record is from RNAcentral.